RNAcentral lists this ribosomal RNA (531 nucleotides) under Salmonella enterica subsp. enterica. Its description in RNAcentral is "partial 23S ribosomal RNA". It matches the Rfam family "Bacterial large subunit ribosomal RNA", at positions 689 to 1218 of the family's 2925-position model. RNAcentral also lists the same sequence under 1 other name. The record is from RNAcentral. Lineage: Bacteria; Pseudomonadati; Pseudomonadota; Gammaproteobacteria; Enterobacterales; Enterobacteriaceae.
CGGGCGUUAAGUUGCAGGGUAUAGACCCGAAACCCGGUGAUCUAGCCAUGGGCAGGUUGAAGGUUGGGUAACACUAACUGGAGGACCGAACCGACUAAUGUUGAAAAAUUAGCGGAUGACCUGUGGCUGGGGGUGAAAGGCCAAUCAAACCGGGAGAUAGCUGGUUCUCCCCGAAAGCUAUUUAGGUAGCGCCUCGUGAAUUCAUCUCCGGGGGUAGAGCACUGUUUCGGCUAGGGGGCCAUCCCGGCUUACCAACCCGAUGCAAACUGCGAAUACCGGAGAAUGUUAUCACGGGAGACACACGGCGGGUGCUAACGUCCGUCGUGAAGAGGGAAACAACCCAGACCGCCAGCUAAGGUCCCAAAGUCAUGGUUAAGUGGGAAACGAUGUGGGAAGGCCCAGACAGCCAGGAUGUUGGCUUAGAAGCAGCCAUCAUUUAAAGAAAGCGUAAUAGCUCACUGGUCGAGUCGGCCUGCGCGGAAGAUGUAACGGGGCUAAACCAUGCACCGAAGCUGCGGCAGCGACACUGUG